AUUGAACGCUGGCGUCAUGCUUUACACAUGCAAGUCGAACGGUAACAGGGAGCUUGCUCCGCUGACGAGUGGCGAACGGGUGAGUAAUAUAUCGGAACGUGCCCAAGAGUGGGGGAUAACGUAGCGAAAGUUACGCUAAUACCGCAUACGAUCCAAGGAUGAAAGCAGGGGACCUUCGGGCCUUGUGCUCCUGGAGCGGCCGAUAUCUGAUUAGCUAGUUGGUGAGGUAAAGGCUCACCAAGGCGACGAUCAGUAGCUGGUCUGAGAGGACGACCAGCCACACUGGAACUGAGACACGGUCCAGACUCCUACGGGAGGCAGCAGUGGGGAAUUUUGGACAAUGGGGGCAACCCUGAUCCAGCAAUGCCGCGUGAGUGAAGAAGGCCUUCGGGUUGUAAAGCUCUUUUGUCAGGGAAGAAAAGGGUACGGCUAAUAUCCGUGCCUCAUGACGGUACCUGAAGAAUAAGCACCGGCUAACUACGUGCCAGCAGCCGCAGUAA
This 500-nucleotide ribosomal RNA is filed under the name uncultured bacterium. Its description in RNAcentral is "partial 16S ribosomal RNA". It matches the Rfam family "Bacterial small subunit ribosomal RNA", at positions 30 to 523 of the family's 1533-position model. The record is from RNAcentral.